RNAcentral lists this ribosomal RNA (602 nucleotides) under uncultured cyanobacterium. RNAcentral's name for it is "bacterial SSU rRNA". It matches the Rfam family "Bacterial small subunit ribosomal RNA", at positions 152 to 787 of the family's 1533-position model. Lineage: Bacteria; Bacillati; Cyanobacteriota. The record is from RNAcentral.
GGAAACCGAUGCUAAUACCGGAUGAGCCGAGAGGUAAAACAUUUAUGGCCUAGGGAUGAACUCGCGUCUGAUUAGCUAGUUGGUGGGGUAAGAGCUUACCAAGGCGACGAUCAGUAGCUGGUCUGAGAGGAUGAUCAGCCACACUGGGACUGAGACACGGCCCAGACUCCUACGGGAGGCAGCAGUGGGGAAUUUUCCGCAAUGGGGGCAACCCUGACGGAGCAACGCCGCGUGCGGGAGGACGGUUUGUGGACUGUAAACCGCUUUUAAUAGGGAAGAAUAACUGACGGUACCUAUUGAAUAAGCAUCGGCUAACUCCGUGCCAGCAGCCGCGGUAAUACGGAGGAUGCAAGCGUUAUCCGGAAUUAUUGGGCGUAAAGGGUCCGCAGGUGGCCCAUCAAGUCAGCUGUUAAAGGUCGGGGCUUAACCCCGGAUGAGCAGUUGAAACUGGUGAGCUAGAGUACGGUAGGGGCAGAGGGAAUUCCUAGUGUAGCGGUGAAAUGCGUAGAUAUUAGGAAGAACACCAGUGGCGAAGGCGCUCUGCUGGGCCUGUACUGACACUGAGGGACGAAAGCUAGGGGAGCGAAAGGGAUUAGAUACCC